This 391-nucleotide long non-coding RNA is filed under the name Prunus persica (peach). Its description in RNAcentral is "long non-coding RNA (PPER_LNC008739)". The record is from RNAcentral. Lineage: Eukaryota; Viridiplantae; Streptophyta; Magnoliopsida; Rosales; Rosaceae.
AGGCCAAUUUGAUUGGAAAAAGUAUGAGAAUUCAGAUUACAGAUUGGGGAUUCGAACGGCAACAAAAGAUCUGCUAAAACAUGAAUGAAAAAUACAGAACCGAUUCUACAAUACCUAUCCGUACUGUGAGCUAGGGUUGGCUGUAGAAAUGGCUAGAGAUGGCCAAUUUGAUUGGAAAAAGUAUGAGAAUUCAAAUUACAGAUUGGGGAUUCGAACGGCGACAAAAGAUUUGCAAAAACAUGAAUGAAAAAUACAGAAUCGAUUCUACUAUACCUAUCCGUACUGUGAGCUAGGGUUGGCUAUAAAAAUGGAUAGAGAUUGCCAAUUUGAUUGGGAAAAGUAUGAGAAUUCGAAUUACAGAUUGGGGAUUCGAAUGGCGACAAAAGAUCUG